Molecule: RNA transcript, 4227 nt
Organism: Panicum virgatum (switchgrass)
Lineage: Eukaryota; Viridiplantae; Streptophyta; Magnoliopsida; Poales; Poaceae
Gene name: disease resistance protein RGA5-like
Exons: 4
Source: RefSeq, a predicted model, not a curated record
UGUUCGGUUCCUAUUUGACCGUUCUCUCCGGAUCCGUUCUCUCCCAAGUCCUUCCUUCCGCAACGGAAAAGGUUCUCUCCCAAGUCCUUCCUUCCGCUUCAAUUCUGUUGCUCAGAGGUCGUUCAUGCUACCUUGAUCUGAGCUGAUUCCUUCACCUUCCAGGAUUAGGCCUCGGAGAGAUCUCAAGCAUGGAGGCUCCUACCAGUCCUUUGGACGGCACCAUUUUGAAGCUUCCAGGGAAGCUCGACAGGCUACUUCUUCAGGCUCACGGCUGCGCCCUGCCCAAGGGCGUGGCGGAUGAGAUACCCCUCAUCAAGCUUGAUCUCGAGAAAAUCAUAGGUAUUUCCUCAAACCUGCAGGAAGACGACCAUGCUAUGAUGGUCAGGUGCUGGAGGAAGGAGCUGCGGGAGCUUUCAUACGACAUGGAGGACUUCCUUGACCAGUAUGAGCACGCCGCUGCCAUGAACUGUACUAGAUCCAUUCGUGGCCAGGAGAUUACUCGGCGGCGCAAGAGCAAGAGAACUCUCCCUUGGAUCCGGGAGAAGCUGAGGCAGCGCCUGUGGAUGGCCAACAAGAUCAGAGAAUUCAGCGAGCGCGCACAAGAGGCACUUGAGCGCCACAGGUUGUAUAACCUUGACGCCAUUGCUGGCCCUGCUUCCUUUAGCUGUACUGAUGAUGCAUAUCCCACCUCUUGGAAUUGCACACCUUGUGGGGAAGAUAAGGCUUAUGUUGGUAUCGAUGCUGCUAUGGAAGAGCUCGAAGAGUUGCUGAUGAUGACCCAUGAUCAAGGGCUCCAGAAGCUUCAGGUUGUGUCCAUUGUUGGGUUUGGAGGAAUUGGGAAGACGACACUUGCCAUGGAACUUUACCGCAAGCUUGGGCAGCAGUUCGAAUGCCGGGCAUUUGUGCGGACUUCCCAGAAGCCUGAUAUGAGGAGGAUUUUCAUCAGCAUGCUCUCCCAAGUUCGUCCACACCAGCCACCUGACAAUUGGACAGUACAUGGCUUAAUUUCCACCAUCAGGACACAUCUGCAAGAUAAGAGGUACUUGAUUAUAGUUGAGGAUUUAUGGACUACAUCAACAUGGGACAUUGUUAAACAAGCUUUACCAGAGAGCAAUUGUUGCAGCAGAAUACUAACAACAACAGAAAUUGAGGAUCUCGCUCUACAAUCUUGUGACCAUGACCCAAAGUAUGUUUAUAAGAUGCAACCGCUUGGUGAAGAUAACUCAAGAAAAUUGUUUCUCAGUUCAGUUUUUGGCCCUCAAUAUGAAUGUCCUCCAGAACUCAGGGAAAUUUCUCAUGAUAUUAUCCGGAAAUGUGGUGGUUUACCACUGGCUAUUGUGACUGUUGCCAGUAUUUUAUCAAGUCAGCCAGGCAAGCAAGAUCGAUGGGAUUAUGUCAAUAAAUCCAUAGGUUACAGUUUGUUGACCAAUCCUACCUGGGAAGGGAUGAAACAAAUCUUCGAGCUUAGUUACAACAAUCUUCCCCAGCAUUUGAAAGCUUGCAUCUUAUACACUGGUUUGUAUGAAGAGGACAUUGUAAUUUCGAAGGAUGAUUUAGUUAACCAGUGGCUAGCUGAAGGUUUUAUCCAAGCAACAGAAGGGCAAGACAAGAAGGAAAUUGCAAGGUCAUUUUUCGAUAGGCUUAUCAAUGGAAAACUGAUCCUUCCUGUAGAUGUAAAUAGAAAUGGUGGGGUUUUGUCCUGCACGAUUCACCACAUGGUACUAAAUCUUUUUAUUAGAUGCAAGUCAAUAGAAGAGAAUUUUGUCACCGCAAUACAUCAUUCUCAAGCAACAACCACACUCGCUGACAAGGUUCGUCGACUGUCUCUUCAAUUUGGCAAUGCAGAAGAUGCAAUAACACCACCAAAUAUGAGAUUGUCACAUGUCCGAACACUUGCCUUUUGGGGUGUCUUCAAGUGUUUGCCUUCCGUUGUGCAGUUUCGCCUUCUUCAAGUUCUAAUUCUCCAUAUUUGGGGCGAUAAGGAUACCAUAAGUUUUGACAUCACUGCAAUUUCAGAACUUUUUCGACUGAGGUAUUUGAAGGUUGCAUCUAAUGUCAGCUUGGAACUACGUACCCAGAUGCGAGGUCUGAAAUCUCUGGAAACACUUACAAUAGAUGCAAGAGUUAGUUCAGUUCCAUCAGAUAUUGUUCACUUGCCAGGCUUGCUGCAUCUUAGUCUUACUGCUGAGACAAACCUGCCCAGUGGGAUUGGCCACAUGACAUCGCUUCGCAUGCUUGGAUGUUUUGAUAUCAGUAGUAAUUCGAUAGAGAAUGUACAGAGCCUUAGCAUGCUGACAAAUCUUGAAGAUCUUCAGCUCACCUGUUCUACAGUACAGACAGAAAAUCUGAAUAGCAAAAUGCAAUCCGUGCUGAUCUCGAUUCUAGGGAGACUCAGUAAGCUCAAGUCUGUUACUCUUGCAUCAAGAGCUCCCAGUACUGUAAAAUCUAUUGGUGCCACGGGCAUGACCAUUUCUGGUGGCUUCAGCAGUUUUCCCUCUGCCCCACCUCUUCUUCGGACUCUUGAGGUUUCACCUCAAAUUUGCAUAUUCUUCUACACCCCCCAAGUGGAUCGGACAACUCCGCGAGCUCUGCGUCUUAAAGUUUGGGGUUAGAAGAAUAGACAGGGAUGGUGUUGAUGUUCUCAAAGGAUUGCCUGCUCUUUCUGUUCUCACCCUGUAUGUCCAGACCAAGCCUGCAGCGAGGAUAGUCAUUGGGAAGACCGGAUUUCCAGUUAUAAAAUACUUCAGGUUCAAGUGCUGCGACGCUUUGCUGGAAUUCGAGGAGGGUGCUAUGCCUAAUCUCCGCAAGCUGAAGCUUGCUUUCAAUGCCAGCAAUGCUGACCAACAGAGCACAAUACCUGUCGGCAUCGAGUACUUGUCUGAGCUGAAAGAGGUAUCUGCAAAAAUUUGUGGUGUUGGUCCUGAGGAAUCCCACAGAAGGGCUGCCGAAUUGGCAUUCAGAGAUGCCAUCAGGGUGCAUGAUAGAUUUCAAAGAGUCAAUGUACAAUGUGUAAAGCAGAUCAUUGAAUGUAAGGAUGAUCAGAGUAGCAUAACAACAGUGGAGUAUUCGCCUCAUGACAGCAUCCCUAGAAACAGAGGUGGCGGAGGCGGCAGCGACGAGCCGGCCCGGAUGCUCAAGCGCCCGCGCCUCGUGUGGACGCCGCAGCUGCACAAGCGCUUCGUCGACGCGGUCGCGCACCUCGGCAUCAAGAACGCCAUGCCCAAGACCAUAAUGCAGCUCAUGAGCGUCGACGGCCUCACGCGCGAGAACGUCGCCUCCCACCUCCAGAAGUACCGCCUCUACCACAAGCGCAUGCAGGGGCUCGGCGGGGGCGGCGGCGGGGGCGGGUGCGCGGGCGGCAGCCACUCCUCCGGCUCCGGCACCGACGCCGCCACCGAGCACCUCUUCGCCACGGGGCCUGUCCCCUUCCUCCCGUACCCGUGCCCGCCCUUCGCGCCCAUGGGCGCCGCGCACCACCACCACCACCACGCGCCGCAGAUCGGCCACUUCCACCACCCCGCCGCCCGGCCGCUCGGCCACUACGGCCCCACGGGCGCCGGCUUCGACCACGGCUUCCUCAGCCGCGCGGUCGGCGCCGGCGCGCCGCCCGUCGGCCCGCCCGGGAUGCACCACCACCGCAUGAUGGCGCCCGCCUCCUUCGCCGACGACAUGGACCUCGGAUCCCGAGGCGGCCCCGGGGGCCUCUACCUCAAGCGCAUGCAGGGGCUCAGCGGCGGUGGCGGCAGGGGCGCGGGUGGCAAGCACUCCGCCUCCGGCACCGACUCCACCGGGGGCAGCGGGACCACCAACUCCGCCGUCACCUUCGACGCGACGCAUACACAUUCCAUCGGCACCGACUCCACCGGGGGCAGCGGGACCACCAGCUCCGGCACCGACGCAUCCAUCUGAACAAUGUGCUUUCAGCCUUUUAGCCUUUUCUUAUCGUUCCGUGGCAUCUUGAUUUUAACCAUGGUUUAAAUAGAGGGUUAUAGUGCCGCUAUAGUCUUUUUAGAGGAUUUCCCUACGCUAUUUGUAUUUGUACCGCUAUGUUAACUAUGAAUGCUAAAUUGGGCUAUAGUUGCGCUAAAUGGUGUAGCUUUAGCGCCGCUAAAGUCUUAUCCUUAGUCCAGUGCUAACGUUUUGAUCUUUUGGACAACUAAAUAUUUGAUUGUAUGAAUUUUGUUGUAUUGUCAACUUAAGUAAUAUUUCUGUAGCCCUAAAAACAUA